AGUGAACGCUGGCGGUAUGCCUAAUACAUGCAAGUCGAACGGCAGCACAGUAAGCUCUUGCCCUUACGGUUGGCGGCUGGCGGGCGGGUGAGAAGUACAUCACCAUCUACUUUUUCGUGGGGGAUAUCGGGAGGACGCUGACACUAAUAGCGCAUAUGAUCUACCGGUUGAUUCAAUAGUGCUUCGCGGCUUUCGCGAUUCUAUUAGCCGGUGUCGGAUUAGCUAGUUGGGGGGGUAAGGGCCCACCAAGGCGACGAUCCGUAGCUGGUCUGAGAGGAUGAUCAGCCACACUGGAACUGAGACACGGUCCAGACUCCUACGGGAGGCAGCAGUAGGGAAUAUUGGACAAUGGGCGAAAGCCUGAUCGAGCAAUACCGCGUGGGUGAAGAAGGUCUUCGGGUUGUAAAGCCCUGUUGUUAGGAAAGAACAGAAGCAGGUUAAUCCCCGGAUGUUCUGACGGUACCUAAAGAGUAAGCACCGGCUAACUUCGUG
RNAcentral lists this ribosomal RNA (492 nucleotides) under uncultured bacterium. RNAcentral's name for it is "partial 16S ribosomal RNA". It matches the Rfam family "Bacterial small subunit ribosomal RNA", at positions 29 to 507 of the family's 1533-position model. The record is from RNAcentral.